UCGUGCUAGACGGGGAGCCAGCGGUGCCCUGUAACCUGCAAUCCGCUAUAGCAGGGUCAAUUACUGAAAGGCGGUAUGAUUUGGACAGACCCGGUUUUGAAGGAAGCGGCGUUGAAGGUUGGGUCCGCUAUAGAUAUAUGCUUCAAACCCCGUCAGGACCGGAAGGUAGCAGCGGUAAGAGGUGGUAUGUCUGAUAGUGGCUUUCCUGACCUGAGUCUUUUCCCUCCCAAAACCCUGUCCGACGAAUACCAACUUUUAGGUGCACGG
Molecule: signal recognition particle RNA, 267 nt
Filed under: Candidatus Cloacimonadota bacterium
Lineage: Bacteria; Pseudomonadati; Candidatus Cloacimonadota
Description: Candidatus Cloacimonetes bacterium signal recognition particle sRNA large type
Rfam family: Bacterial large signal recognition particle RNA
About the family: The signal recognition particle (SRP) is a universally conserved ribonucleoprotein involved in the co-translational targeting of proteins to membranes.
Source: RNAcentral